GUGUUCCUUUUGGCAGCAUAUAGACUAAAACUGGAAGAGUGCAGAGAUUAGCAUGAUCCCUGUGCAAGGAUGAAAUACAAAUUUCAAAAAUGUUCCAUAUUUUU
This is a small nuclear RNA of Nannospalax galili (Upper Galilee mountains blind mole rat), 104 nucleotides long. The record is from Ensembl. Lineage: Eukaryota; Metazoa; Chordata; Mammalia; Rodentia; Spalacidae.